This 465-nucleotide ribosomal RNA is filed under the name uncultured bacterium. RNAcentral's name for it is "partial 16S ribosomal RNA". It matches the Rfam family "Bacterial small subunit ribosomal RNA", at positions 28 to 507 of the family's 1533-position model. The record is from RNAcentral.
GACGAACGCUGGCGGCGUGCUUAACACAUGCAAGUCGAACGGAAAGGCCCCUUCGGGGGUACUCGAGUGGCGAACGGGUGAGUAACACGUGAGUAACCUGCCCUUGACUUCGGGAUAACUUCAGGAAACUGGGGCUAAUACCGGAUAGGAAUCCUUGCUGCAUGGUGGGGGUUGGAAAGCUUCGGCGGUUUUGGAUGGACUCGCGGCUUAUCAGCUUGUUGGUGGGGUAGUGGCUUACCAAGGCCUUGACGGGUAGCCGGCCUGAGAGGGCGACCGGCCACAUUGGGACUGAGAGACGGCCCAGACUCCUACGGGAGGCAGCAGUGGGGAAGAUUGCACAAUGGGCGGAAGCCUGAUGCAGCAACGCCGCGUGCGGGAUGACGGCCUUCGGGUUGUAAACCGCUUUCAGCAGGGGCGAAGCUUGUGGUGACGGUACCUGCAGAAGAAGCACCGGCUAACUACGUG